Long non-coding RNA from Drosophila albomicans, 1024 nucleotides. RefSeq lists it as uncharacterized. The transcript is spliced from 3 exons. The record is from RefSeq and is a predicted model, not a curated record. NCBI's taxonomy places the organism in Eukaryota, Metazoa, Arthropoda, Insecta, Diptera, Drosophilidae.
CGAAGCGAACAAACUAUUUGGGCGAAAUGUCGUUUUGUUGCGGCGACUGAAACAUCAAAAAAAUGCAAAAGUCAACAUGACAAAGCAACUCGAGUUGCAGAACAAAGAAAAAGCAGAGAAAAAGUCUAGAACGGGGGAGGUGAAGGGAAAAAGGACAAGACAAUAGAAUGAACUGAACUCUGCUGCUGCUCUCGGAGGCCGCAACAAAGGCGCUCGCCAAUAGGCGUGACGCACACAGCGACUCAUGUGGCAUGCGGCAUGUGGCAUGUGGCAUGGGACACGGGGAUGAAGCUUGGAUUUUGAUGUGGCUCAUGCAGCUCAGGGCAAACUUUUGCAUAUUUGUUAAAUACUUUAAUUAAUAAUUUAGAGAGAUAGCAAAGGCAAAAAGAUACCGAAGGGAGAGAGAACGCGCGCAGAGCUCACAAACAAACAGAGACGUGAAAGGGGGGAGGGGGGAAAGCGGCAGCAGAAAGUUGAGCAAACAACUAACAAAAGAUCAAGGAUUAUGCGUGCCCACAGUUCGUCAUUAUCUUUGUGUCAAGACUAUGCCCGGCAUGGUUAUGGAAUGCUUUUGAGUCGCAUCUCCCACAACUUGCUUAAGUUUCGCUCAAUUGAUGGAGACAACCAUGAGGGGGGAGUAGAAGGGGGAGGGUAGAGCUUGUGUGUGUGUGUCCUGGUGACCAGCCAAAGGGCUCCAGGAGUUCCUUCGUCUUCUUCUUGUCAGCAACGAAAAAAAUGCGGCUGGCGGCAAUUGCAUUCAACGCUGUGAAAUAACUCAUAACUUGCGAAAGAUGUAAAAAAAAAAAAAAACAACAAAACAAACAACAAAAAUUAGGAAUGAAAAGCAAAUAACAGGCAAGAAGAUUUUAAAGCACAUGGAAACGCAGCUCAUCAAGUUAGCUUUAAACAAGCUAAUACAACAACAAGCUAAUACAAAUUUCAGAUUAAAACAAAUUCAAGAUUUAAUACGAAAUUACGAACUUGAAGCACAAUUAUAUUAGGAAUCAGGGUAAAAAAGCAAAUA